RNAcentral lists this ribosomal RNA (666 nucleotides) under Lodderomyces orthopsilosis. RNAcentral describes it as "Candida orthopsilosis partial large subunit ribosomal RNA". The stretch from base 1 to 581 matches the Rfam family "Eukaryotic large subunit ribosomal RNA", at positions 68 to 664 of the family's 3401-position model. Lineage: Eukaryota; Fungi; Ascomycota; Pichiomycetes; Serinales; Debaryomycetaceae. The record is from RNAcentral.
AGGUCAAUAACCUUGGCUAGCGGCGAGUGAAGCGGCAAAAGCUCAAAUUUGAAAUCUGGCACUUUCAGUGUCCGAGUUGUAAUUUGAAGAAGGUAUCUUUGGGUCUGGCUCUUGUCUAUGUUUCUUGGAACAGAACGUCACAGAGGGUGAGAAUCCCGUGCGAUGAGAUGUCCCAGACCUAUGUAAAGUUCCUUCGAAGAGUCGAGUUGUUUGGGAAUGCAGCUCUAAGUGGGUGGUAAAUUCCAUCUAAAGCUAAAUAUUGGCGAGAGACCGAUAGCGAACAAGUACAGUGAUGGAAAGAUGAAAAGAACUUUGAAAAGAGAGUGAAAAAGUACGUGAAAUUGUUGAAAGGGAAGGGCUUGAGAUCAGACUUGGUAUUUUGUAUGUUACUCUCUCGGGGGUGGCCUCUACAGUUUACCGGGCCAGCAUCAGUUUGGGCGGUAGGACAAUUGCAAAGAAAUGUGGCACUGCCUCGGUAGUGUGUUAUAGUCUUUGUCGAUACUGCCAGCCUAGACUGAGGACUGCGGCUUCGGCCUAGGAUGUUGGCAUAAUGAUCUUAAGUCGCCCGUCUUAAAACCCCGAAACAAACAAACCGGCUUUUUAUUUAAGCGACACACCACUGUUUUUUUAUAAAGAAAAAAAAAAGAGGGGUGGGGGGGGGGGGAC